UAGGGAAUCUUCCACAAUGGACGCAAGUCUGAUGGAGCAACGCCGCGUGAGUGAAGAAGGUUUUCGGAUCGUAAAGCUCUGUUGUUGGUGAAGAAGGAUAGAGGCAGUAACUGGUCUUUAUUUGACGGUAAUCAACCAGAAAGUCACGGCUAACUACGUGCCAGCAGCCGCGGUAAUACGUAGGUGGCAAGCGUUGGCCGGAUUUAUUGGGCGUAAAGCGAGCGCAGGCGGAAUGAUAAGUCUGAUGUGAAGGCCCACGGCUCAACCGUGGAACUGCAUCGGAAACUGUCAUUCUUGAGUGCAGAAGAGGAGAGUGGAAUUCCAUGUGUAGCGGUGGAAUGCGUAGAUAUAUGGAAGAACACCAGUGGCGAAGGCGGCUCUCUGGUCUGCAACUGACGCUGAGGCGCGAAAGCAUGGGUAGCGAACAGG
This 429-nucleotide ribosomal RNA is filed under the name bacterium. Its description in RNAcentral is "partial 16S ribosomal RNA". It matches the Rfam family "Bacterial small subunit ribosomal RNA", at positions 355 to 776 of the family's 1533-position model. The record is from RNAcentral.